CUAGAAGACCAAGACUUAGCCAUACCCUCUUACCAAAGAUAUAUCCAGCAGCAUCUUGCAAGUUGGAAGGCUGUACCCUGAGGGCCAUUAAAAAGUGUGAACCCAGACUGUGAUACCACAACUAUUGACCUGUGCUGAAGAGCAGCAUGAUGAAUCAUAAAGUACCUGAUAAUGGACUGUCUCCAGAUGACGUGUCCAGUAGCACCGAUGGGCAUUGCUUCUGUAGAACACCAGAAAGAAGACUGAGAACUUUCUAACUAAUCAUUGCCACUUCUACUGCACUUAGCUUCUCCAAUAUGGACUACCAUCUAACUACUGACCAGUAGACACAGUCCUACCCAUUAAAGUACUGUGGAAGCUCAAAGCUGGAACAGAUUUGCCUUCAUCUCACUCAGUGAAAAUGCUUUUGAUGUAUUUCGGUCUUUAUUUGCCUUUAAAAUGUCAAGCAAAGCUGUCAACACCUUUUGCUGCUGUCACUGUGCUUGUCCUGUGCCUCUUUGUUGACCAGCCUGUUCUAACAUCCCUCUCUUGUACCUGAUGU
Chelonia mydas (Green sea turtle) is the source of this 541-nucleotide long non-coding RNA. RefSeq lists it as uncharacterized. The transcript is spliced from 5 exons. The record is from RefSeq and is a predicted model, not a curated record. NCBI's taxonomy places the organism in Eukaryota, Metazoa, Chordata, Testudines, Cheloniidae.